This 906-nucleotide long non-coding RNA is filed under the name Nicotiana benthamiana. RNAcentral describes it as "long non-coding RNA (NBEN_LNC037872)". Lineage: Eukaryota; Viridiplantae; Streptophyta; Magnoliopsida; Solanales; Solanaceae. The record is from RNAcentral.
UUCACCAAUACUAAACCCAUAGCCUUUUAUAAUCCCUAAUUAAAACCUAAUGAGACACACAAAGAAUAAGAGGGGGAGGAACAGACAGAAAGAGAAAAGGGCGAAAGGAAAAAAGCAGACGUCUCCUUAUUCUUCUUUAAGCAAAUCACAGCAGCCAUAUACGAUUCAGAUACCAUUUUUCUUCAUAAUUUCACCAUGUAUAGCACAAUGAAACAGAGGGGUUUUGGGGGAUUCAAUUUCCCCCUGAAAGCUUACUGCUUACCCUUAAACCAACAUCAUCAAACAAACAUGAUUGUCGUCUACCUUUAUUUCUUCAUCUUUGUUGAAUUAUCGGCAAUCCACCAAGCCCCAUAACCAUCGCCGAAGAUUUCCGUCAUAACUUCAUCCCAACGUCGAAAAUAAUCGAGCUCCCCUAUCCUUCACCAAAUCUCUAUUCAUUCUCUUUGAAUUACCGAGUUCUACCAAAUUCAGUUGAGGUUUCCCAUCAAGGUCGAGUUCUAUUUCUGGUCAAGAGGUAGUGUGUUCGUGAUUUUCAGUACGGCAAGGUGUCCUAUUCGCUGGUCUUAGUCAGUAGAGUUCCGUCAAGGUCUUCGAUCUUCGCUCAAUUCCUGGACAGAGUCCAUUCUUUUAUAGCUUUUGGGUUGGAAGCACUUUGAAAGUUCCAUUAAUUUCCCUAAUAAUAUUUUCUCUUAAUGCUACGCUUUUAUCACAUUUGAUAAUCUGAAGCUUCUUGAUGUUUGAUUAUUAGAUGAGAUAUAUCUUCACUUAGUAACUACUUUGAUUGUUUAAUUUGGAUAAAUCAUCCAUUGUUUGUACAGAACCUAACCUAAAAUUAUGGUGGUAUUAUUCAUUAAUUAAGCUGAAUCAAUUGGUCUAUAAGAAAUGGAUCAUGGGAUUGGUUUAUAA